CGGAGUCCGAGUUGUAAUUUGUAGAAGAUGCUUUGGGUUGUGGGUUCGGCCUAAGUUCCUUGGAACAGGACGUCAUAGAGGGUGAGAAUCCCGUAUGUGGCCGAGGCCCGCGCCUAUGUAAAGCUCUUUCAACGAGUCGAGUUGUUUGGGAAUGCAGCUCAAAAUGGGUGGUAAAUUUCAUCUAAAGCUAAAUAUGGGCCAGAGACCGAUAGCGCACAAGUAGAGUGAUCGAAAGAUGAAAAGCACUUUGGAAAGAGAGUUAAACAGUACGUGAAAUUGUUGAAAGGGAAGCGCUUGCACCCAGACUUGGGCGCUGCCGAUCAUCUUGAGGUCUCCUCGAGUGCACUCGACAGCGGACAGGCCAGCAUCGGUUCGGGUGGCUGGAUAAAGGCCGUAGGAACGUAGCUCCCUUCGGGGAGUGUUAUAGCCUACGGUGCCAUGCAGCCCAGCCGGACCGAGGACCGCGCCUUCGGGCUAGGAUGCUGGCGUAAUGGGUGUAAGCGACCCGUCUUGAAACACGGACCAAGGAGUCUAACAUCUAUGCGAGUGUUUGGGUGGUAAACCCAUACGCGGAAUGAAAGUGAACGUAGGUGAGAACCCCGUUGGGGCGCAUCAUCGACCGAUCCUGAUGUCUUCGGAUGGAUUUGAGUAAGAGCAUAGCUGUUGGGACCCGAAAGAUGGUGAACUAUGCCUGAAUAGGGUGAAGCCAGAGGAAACUCUGGUGGAGGCUCGCAGCGGUUCUGACGUGCAAAUCGAUCGUCAAAUUUGGGCAUAGGGGCGAAAGACUAAUCGAACCAUCUAGUAGCUGGUUCCUGCCGAAGUUU
RNAcentral lists this ribosomal RNA (824 nucleotides) under Erysiphe eschscholziae. RNAcentral describes it as "eukaryotic LSU rRNA". It matches the Rfam family "Eukaryotic large subunit ribosomal RNA", at positions 132 to 969 of the family's 3401-position model. The record is from RNAcentral. Lineage: Eukaryota; Fungi; Ascomycota; Leotiomycetes; Helotiales; Erysiphaceae.